This 319-nucleotide long non-coding RNA is filed under the name Panax ginseng (ginseng). RNAcentral's name for it is "long non-coding RNA (PGIN_LNC002658)". Lineage: Eukaryota; Viridiplantae; Streptophyta; Magnoliopsida; Apiales; Araliaceae. The record is from RNAcentral.
CAGUUUCUAUGCAGAAUAUAAAGAGGAUCACACUAAGCUACUAAGUACAGAAGAUGUUCAAGCUUGAAGACAUCUUAGUAGCUCAACACCAACAACAACAACACUAACAACAACAAGUAGCCAGGGCUUGAGGGGUCCUUGUCCAGAGGGACUAAAUGAAGAUCCAAACAUGCUGGGCUUGAAGAGUUCCUAGGGAACUAGAGGAGUUCUAAGCCUGCUGGGCUUGAAGAGUUCUUAGUGAACAAAACAUCCAAGGCUGCUUACCUUGAAGGAAUCUUAGUGAUUCAGGGUGUUGCCCUUCCUUAGUGGAAUUCAUGCC